GGCGGUAUUUCAGAAGCUUUAGUAGAAAAUAAUCCCAUUUGUCACCAUAGUAGAUAUAAAGCUCACUGAAAGCAUCUUCCUACUCUUUUCCCUGGUGAACACCAUUGAGCGCAAAGGCUUUUAUUUUCUGGGCCCCGACCUUUAUCCACCAUCUCUCAUUAGGAUUCUAUGCACUUGUCCCUUGAUUUCUGGGACAGUGAAGCCCACAGGCAAAUGGGACUGGAGGGUGUGGAGGAUGCAAAGAAAGGUAAACUUUCUAGGAUGUGAGCAGGGGGAGGCUGGGAGAUGAAAGGAGGCAGGACAAGGCCCAAGACAGCCUUCGCAGAGAAGGCCUGACUGCUGUUUUGGAGAGGAGAGGGAGGGAAAAGGGCUUAACGCUUAUUUGUGCCUCAAUUCCAAAAGGCACAUUUAAGUCUGGGAUAUACAGAGGGUGUGUGGGUGGACGACUCAGAUGCAUCCCUUUGCUAUUCUUAUACUCUGUUCCUUUCAAGGUGUUUCUUGAAGAAUUCAGAAAAAGCAGAAGUUAUGCUCAAGCUGUGACAACAAAGUGGUAGACAUGAUUGACCUGUUAAAAGUUCAGUUUGGCCAAUGUCAUGUGGUACCUUUUUUUUUUGUUUGUUUUUAAUACUUUGGGCCUGGACCCAGUCUUUGGUCUGAAUAUCCUCUGUUGUCUUAGCUUAGUCCUUUAAAAAAGGGCAUGAAAACAUGUGAGUUUUCAAUCCUUCUUCCAGGGCACUGGACAAGGAGUCCAGUGUUGAAAUGUAUUAAUGUUUGAGCACUGAUUGUCACUGGAAAACCUUUAACCUACUGAGGUGUGCGUGCGUGUGUGCGCUUGUGUGUGUUUGUGUAUGAACCUGUAGUGAUUUCUAGGUGAUGUUGGAUGUUUUGUCCCUAGAAAUACAUAAGACUUAGCAGUAAAGAAUGAUAAAUGAUGUUUUUGGCUUAAUCUGUAUAUUCAGCAAAUUCAUACACAGAGGCUAAAACGUACACAUUUAAAAUAUAUACUAUUUUGAACUACUCAUGGGACAUUUAUAGAAUAUAAAGCAACAUGGUUUUGUUCUUAGAGUUCCUUCUCCAGCACAAGAGUUUCAUUUUUUAGCUAAUUGUUAAAGCUAUGUUAUUACAUUUUUAACUGUAUUUUCUAAUUUUAUUCUGUUAGAGAAGGGUUUCUGUAUAACUCAUGAAUGCUUGGCCAUAAUGUAACUAUUCCUUCCUGAGUAAUUUUUAUUGCAAAAAAAAAAAAAAUCACUCCUCUAAAUGCAAAUUUCUCCAAGCCUUGUUUCCUCACUUAGGCUUCCAAACAGAGGCUGGAGAUGGGGCUUUCCGUGGCUCAUGGCAGCAUGCAUGCAGUCAACACAAGAAUCUGAAAAGCAGCCGAGGCCCGUCUUCCCUUCAUGCCUCCUCAUGUAUUAUUAAAGCCAGCAAAGCUUCCUGGAUUGCUGAACAAAGGUGACCAUGCUCCACCAAUGAAUUCAAUCCUCAGGCUUCUGAAUGUUCGCCAGUGCUCUGUGUCGCCUGCACAUGGUAGAUAUAAUUGGCAAACUGAAUGAAGAAUUUCCCAUUCUUACUAGGCGGGAUUCCAGAUAGAAGAUAAGAAUAGGCUGAAUAGCUAAGAUGGCAUGUGAAAGGGGCUCUGCUUUUCGUGUAGCACUUAUUAUGAAGAUGCAAAUUUCCUCUCAACCCGAAGCGAUGUUUGUGGCUGCCCAGCAGUCAUUCCUUUAGCUGUUACCAAUUUGUGUCCCCAGUGUCUUAGUUGUCAAUAUUUUCCAACUUCAUUUUGAGAUGAUAUAAUAACAUUUUCUCAGAAUUCUCUAUAGUCAUAUAUUGACAAAUGUGUGUCAAUCACAUCAAAUCAUAUCCUCAGUGUGAUACCAUUUAUAUAUUCAAAACGCCAUAUCCUAGGAUUUGUUCUACUUCUCGUUCACUUCACUGAAGCCUAAAUUAGUGGAACUGAAUAGACUCAUUGAUUCGGACUCACGUUUUGAUUAGGUAAUAUCCCAUAAAGUGUCAUUAAAUAUCUAUGCCUCAUUCUGGCUAGUUGCUAUGUAGCCAUUUUGAAUACGUAUCUGGAUAAUAUGUUUGCAUGUGUUCACACAGGUUAUUUUGUAUAUUUCAUUCACUAAGUGGUAUAUGCUAUGCAUAUAUGCCCUAAAAAUAGUCAUUAAGCUUUUAAAAGGAAAAUAAAUUGAUUUUCAAUCUCUAAAUUUCUUCCGUUGGUAUUGCUAGAUACUCUGUUUUCCUUCUAGAAAUGGUCAAUGCAUCAAAAGAAAAAGAAAAAGUCAUAAUUAUAGGACCCUAUAUAAGUUUUCCACACCUUAGUUUUUUCACCAUAACCAUAUGUGAAACCUGACAAUGCAUAUCAAGUUGACAACUAGAUUUACUAUUGGUGCGGUUGCUAAAUUUUAAUGUUAUUAGCUUAAAAUCAAACAUAAAUUAGAAUACAGUGGACACAGAAGUGCUGUUCAUGCAUUCUUGAACUCACAGCUCAUUCAAGACCACAUGUGUUGCCUGCCAACUAUUUGCAAAGCACUUCACUAAACCUGCAGAAAACACCCAGUUAGACAGGUCAUCCUCUGUUAUCCAGGACCUCUCAGCCAAAGGUGAGAUACUUAGCUUGCUACUUAGCAUGUUUAGUUUCUUUCUACUUCAUCUGUUCCCCGCUUCCCCAUAAGUCUGGGUUCCCUCUUUCUGUUUCCUUAAGCAUGUUCCUUUCUCAUCCUCAGUGUGGCUCUGUACCCACGGGUGGAUGUGUCCUCUCUCCUUUGCCUCUAUCUUCCUUUACUUUUUCCUAGCUUCUUUUCUCUCAUUCCUUCUAGCUCUCCAGCCACCAUCUUUUCCUUCUGUCCUCUUCUUCCCGCAUUCUACACCCUCAAUCUUCAGAAACACAUCAUUUCCCCAUCUUUAAUCAUAAAUUAAUUAAAUCACUGCCUAUUAAUGGAUAUGUCAGUUUUGUCUUAAACAAAUAAUCUUGAAUAUAUAUUGUUUCACAGGUGUGAGUUUAGGGUAAAUUUCCAAAAGUGGAGAUGCUUGAUAAAAGAUUAUGUGCAUUUCUAAUAAGAAACACAUCCCAUUAUUGACUUAAAUGGAGGCUAUAACAAAUUUAAUGAGUAUGAGAAAUUUACAUUCUCAUAUGCACAAUACAAGAGUAGCUGUUUCCCCACAGUUUAGUCAAGAGACUGUAUAAGCAAAUGUAAAUUGUCAGCCCUGUGAGUGAAAAAUUGUAUCACAGUGUAUUAUCCACUUUCUCUAACAUACCAUAAGAACUUCCUACUCUUUUGAAUUCUUUUCCUUAGUCUAAAAACACACUCAGUCUUUCUUUACUCUUUUUUUAAAUUUUCUUUUUAGGGACGCACCAGUGGCACAUGGAGGUUCCCAGGCUAGGGGUCAAAUCAGAGCUGCAGCUGCCUGCCUACACCACAGCUCACGGCACAAAGCCUCAUUAAGCCUUCAGUUGUUGAGAAAUGAAUGAGGAAACAAUAACUGAAUAUUUAGUACUCUAGGGAACGAUCAUUUGGUCUCUUCCAGAAAACUGAAAACAUGAUCUGGAAAUACUGGAAAUACAUGCAGGAAAGAUCUCGUGUAGGAUUUAUUGAACUGGUUGGUUUGGAGAGCCACCUGGUGGUUAAGAGAAAAUGUGAGGAAAGACGGAACUUGCACUGAGCUUGAAUUCCACCACGUGAGUGGUGUACUACUUUACUUCAAACCACUAGGCCCGGAACUGUUAGGACCUGACUAGAUCCAUACAGGAUUCUACUCUUACAACUUUUCUCUCGUACAGCAUAUUUGCUCUUCCUUAUACAUUUUCAGAAAAACCUUUACUUUCCUUUGGGUUUAUUUAAUUUACCAACCUGGCAGUAGAUACGCAGAACUGGGAGAAAUGCAUGAGAGGGAGGCACGUAAAAAGAAAACAAAAAUGAUGAUUGAGCUUAUUCCAUCAGAGGAUUAAAGAUGGGGGUGACAAUGGCACACAUAGCUGCUACCAGCCUACUUCCUGUCCUUGUUUCCCAUCUUCCUACCGUCUGAUGUGGUUUCAGAAUUAACUAUUGCAUAAAACAUGCAGCUUCUCCAUGUAUGCAAGAAAUAGGUUUAGCAUUGCCCAGAAAAAAAAGGGAGUUAGAAGAUCUAAAAGGAUUGCUUUUAAGAUUAAAGAAUGAAGAGCUAAUAAACAAAUAAAGAGGCUCUUACCACAUCUCACUAAAAAAAACCCCCAAAAAAACCAAAACCUCAGUGGUUCUCAGUGGUAUACAUUUCUGAUUCAUGUGAUAGGUGGAUGAAGGCUGGUUAGCUGUAACUUUACUCUGGUCCAGAAUGGAAUGCUUCUCAAUCCAGAACCCAGCCUGAAGGGACCACUCUGAUGGAGAUAGGUUAUUCUUGUGGCAGAGGGAAAAGAUCAAGAGAUCUCAAAGAAACUCUCACGGCUUCUUAAAGCUUCUUCCCAGAAUCAAUACUCAUCUCUUUCCUUCAUAUUUCAUUGGAUAAAGCAUGUCACAUGGCCAAGUCUGAUACUGACGGAGGUAUAAGUAUACUCUCACUUAAGAUGUGGAGGUAUACUAAGUGUAACAUCAUUUAUUGUACAAACCAGGACAAUGUUGAGAGUGAACCUAUUUUUCAAUAACCAAGCCAGGACAACAGAAACAAAUUGAGACUGUCCUAGCAAACUUGGAUAUACUGUCAGGAUAUACCUUUUUAUAAUCCUCUCCCAAGGGAAAAAAAGGAACAGAUAAUUGAGAAUAACUGAGUUGAUCACAAGCUUUGAUGAAAAGACCUAGCAUCUGCACAUGGAUAUAUACAUUCAUGCUGAGGGAAGCAAGGGAAAAGCAGGCAGGAAGAAAGACUAGUUCAGGUGCAUCAGGAAGUGAGAUAUUAGCCUUAGGCUGUGAGAUUCCUGAAGUAGUGGUCAAGAUAAGGGAUGAUGAACCAAGAGUGGUUCAGUUUAAAUGUCCUGCUUCUCAAAAGGUCAUCAAUAGCAAGAAAAGAAGAGUUUGGGUACCAUUGGCUGAGUCACAUGUCUUGG
RNAcentral lists this long non-coding RNA (5014 nucleotides) under Sus scrofa (pig). Its description in RNAcentral is "lncRNA (ENSSSCG00050055155.1)". Lineage: Eukaryota; Metazoa; Chordata; Mammalia; Artiodactyla; Suidae. The record is from RNAcentral.